AUUGAACGCUGGCGGCAGGCUUAACACAUGCAAGUCGAACGAUGACUAGCUAGCUUGCUAGUUAUGAUUAGUGGCGGACGGGUGAGUAACAUUUAGGAAUCUGCCUAGUAGUGGGGGAUAGCUCGGGGAAACUCGAAUUAAUACCGCAUACGACCUACGGGUGAAAGGGGGCGCAAGCUCUUGCUAUUAGAUGAGCCUAAAUCAGAUUAGCUAGUUGGUGGGGUAAAGGCCUACCAAGGCGACGAUCUGUAACUGGUCUGAGAGGAUGAUCAGUCACACCGGAACUGAGACACGGUCCGGACUCCUACGGGAGGCAGCAGUGGGGAAUAUUGGACAAUGGGGGCAACCCUGAUCCAGCCAUGCCGCGUGUGUGAAGAAGGCCUUUUGGUUGUAAAGCACUUUAAGCAGGGAAGAGAGGCUAAUGGUUAAUACCCAUUAGAUUAGACGUUACCUGCAGAAUAAGCACCGGCUAACUCUGUGCCAGCAGCCGCGGUAAUACAGAGGGUGCGAGCGUUAAUCGGAAUUACUGGGCGUAAAGCGAGUGUAGGUGGCUCAUUAAGUCACAUGUGAAAUCCCCGGGGCUUAACCUGGGAACUGCAUGUGAUACUGGUGGUGCUAGAAUAUGUGAGAGGGAAGUAGAAUUCCAGGUGUAGCGGUGAAAUGCGUAGAGAUCUGGAGGAAUACCGAUGGCGAAGGCAGCUUCCUGGCAUAAUAUUGACACUGAGAUUCGAAAGCGUGGGUAGCAAACAGGAUUAGAUACCCUGGUAGUCCACGCCGUAAACGAUGUCUACUAGCCGUUGGGGUCCUUGAGACUUUAGUGGCGCAGUUAACGCGAUAAGUAGACCGCCUGGGGAGUACGGCCGCAAGGUUAAAACUCAAAUGAAUUGACGGGGGCCCGCACAAGCGGUGGAGCAUGUGGUUUAAUUCGAUGCAACGCGAAGAACCUUACCUGGUCUUGACAUAGUGAGAAUCCUGCAGAGAUGCGGGAGUGCCUUCGGGAAUUCACAUACAGGUGCUGCAUGGCUGUCGUCAGCUCGUGUCGUGAGAUGUUGGGUUAAGUCCCGCAACGAGCGCAACCCUUUUCCUUAUUUGCCAGCGGGUUAAGCCGGGAACUUUAAGGAUACUGCCAGUGACAAACUGGAGGAAGGCGGGGACGACGUCAAGUCAUCAUGGCCCUUACGACCAGGGCUACACACGUGCUACAAUGGUAGGUACAGAGGGUUGCUACACAGCGAUGUGAUGCUAAUCUCAAAAAGCCUAUCGUAGUCCGGAUUGGAGUCUGCAACUCGACUCCAUGAAGUCGGAAUCGCUAGUAAUCGCAGAUCAGAAUGCUGCGGUGAAUACGUUCCCGGGCCU
This 1356-nucleotide ribosomal RNA is filed under the name uncultured bacterium. Its description in RNAcentral is "bacterial SSU rRNA". It matches the Rfam family "Bacterial small subunit ribosomal RNA", at positions 28 to 1381 of the family's 1533-position model. The record is from RNAcentral.